AUUGAACGCUGGCGGCAGGCCUAACACAUGCAAGUCGAGCGGAUGAAGGGAGCUUGCUCCUGGAUUCAGCGGCGGACGGGUGAGUAAUGCCUAGGAAUCUGCCUGGUAGUGGGGGAUAACGUCCGGAAACGGGCGCUAAUCCCGCAUACGUCCUGAGGGAGAAAGUGGGGGAUCUUCGGCCCUCCCGCUAUCAGAGGAGCCUAGGUCGGAUUAGCUAGUUGGUGGGGUAAAGGCCUACCAAGGCGACGAUCCGUAACUGGUCUGAGAGGAUGAUCAGUCACACUGGAACUGAGACACGGUCCAGACUCCUACGGGAGGCAGCAGUGGGGAAUAUUGGACAAUGGGCGAAAGCCUGAUCCAGCCAUGCCGCGUGUGUGAAGAAGGUCUUCGGAUUGUAAAGCACUUUAAGUUGGGAGGAAGGGCAGUAAGUUAAUACCUUGCUGUUUUGACGUUACCAACAGAAUAAGCACCGGCUAACUUCGUG
Molecule: ribosomal RNA, 484 nt
Filed under: uncultured bacterium
Lineage: Bacteria
Description: partial 16S ribosomal RNA
Rfam family: Bacterial small subunit ribosomal RNA
Source: RNAcentral